Molecule: ribosomal RNA, 301 nt
Filed under: uncultured bacterium
Lineage: Bacteria
Description: partial 16S ribosomal RNA
Rfam family: Bacterial small subunit ribosomal RNA
Source: RNAcentral
CAGUCGCCGCGGGAAUACAGAGGGUGCGAGCGUUAAUCGGAUUUACUGGGCGUAAAGCGUGCGUAGGCGGCUUCUUAAGUCGGAUGUGAAAUCCCUGAGCUUAACUUAGGAAUUGCAUUCGAUACUGGGAAGCUAGAGUAUGGGAGAGGAUGGUAGAAUUCCAGGUGUAGCGGUGAAAUGCGUAGAGAUCUGGAGUAAUACCGAUGGCGAAGGCAGCCAUCUGGCCUAAUACUGACGCUGAGGUACGAAAGCAUGGGGAGCAAACAGGAUUAGAUACCCCAGUAGUCCCUGUCUCUUAUAC